UGGGGAAUAUUGCGCAAUGGGGGAAACCCUGACGCAGCGACGCCGCGUGAGCGAUGAAGGCCUUAGGGUUGUAAAGCUCUGUUUUAGGGGACGAAUGUCCAUGUGAGUAAUAUGCGCGUGGAAUGACGGUACCCUAAGAGGAAGCCCCGGCUAACUACGUGCCAGCAGCCGCGGUAAGACGGAGGGGGCGAGCGUUGUCCGGAAUUACUGGGCGUAAAGAGCACGUAGGCGGGAACUUAAGUCAGGUGUGAAAGACCAGGGGCUCAACUCCGGGGUUGCACUUGAAACUGGGUUUCUUGAGGGCAGGAGAGGAAAGCAGAAUUCCUGGUGUAGCGGUGAAAUGCGUAGAAAUCAGGAGGAAUACCAGUGGCGAAGGCGGCUUUCUGGACUGACCCUGACGCUGAGGUGCGAAAGCGUGGGUAGCAAACA
Molecule: ribosomal RNA, 429 nt
Filed under: uncultured prokaryote
Description: bacterial SSU rRNA
Rfam family: Bacterial small subunit ribosomal RNA
Source: RNAcentral